This 253-nucleotide ribosomal RNA is filed under the name uncultured bacterium. RNAcentral's name for it is "partial 16S ribosomal RNA". It matches the Rfam family "Bacterial small subunit ribosomal RNA", at positions 524 to 776 of the family's 1533-position model. The record is from RNAcentral.
UACGGAGGGGGCGAGCGUUAUUCGGAAUUAUUGGGCGUAAAGGGUGCGCAGGCGGCGUCGCAAGUCAGGCGUGAAAGCCCCGGGCUCAACCUGGGAACUGCAAUGGAAACUGGCGGGCUUGAGUGUGGCAGAGGGGGGUGGAAUUCCGCGUGUAGCAGUGAAAUGCGUAGAGAUGCGGAGGAACACCGAUGGCGAAGGCAGCCCCCUGGGCCAACACUGACGCUCAGGCACGAAAGCGUGGGGAGCAAACAGG